This 199-nucleotide long non-coding RNA is filed under the name Elaeis guineensis (African oil palm). Its description in RNAcentral is "long non-coding RNA (EGUI_LNC021746)". Lineage: Eukaryota; Viridiplantae; Streptophyta; Magnoliopsida; Arecales; Arecaceae. The record is from RNAcentral.
AGGCCGGAGGGAGGGACUGGGAAGCAGGGAAGGAGCUCUGGUAGGAUUUAACAUGUCAAAAAAGAAAAGGUUUUAAGGGAACUUUUUGCAAUAUUUACAAAAAAGGACCUAUGUGCAGCAAACAUAAGCAAAUUGGAAUGCACUUGAAUUAGGUUAGCAAAGAAAGCUAGUUGAUUAGUUUUAUUAAAUUCUUCCAUAC